RNAcentral lists this ribosomal RNA (1372 nucleotides) under uncultured bacterium. RNAcentral's name for it is "bacterial SSU rRNA". It matches the Rfam family "Bacterial small subunit ribosomal RNA", at positions 28 to 1381 of the family's 1533-position model. The record is from RNAcentral.
GAUGAACGCUGGCGGCGUGCCUAAUACAUGCAAGUCGAGCGAACGGACGAGAAGCUUGCUUCUCUGAUGUUAGCGGCGGACGGGUGAGUAACACGUGGAUAACCUACCUAUAAGACUGGGAUAACUUCGGGAAACCGGAGCUAAUACCGGAUAAUAUUUUGAACCGCAUGGUUCAAAAGUGAAAGACGGUCUUGCUGUCACUUAUAGAUGGAUCCGCGCUGCAUUAGCUAGUUGGUAAGGUAACGGCUUACCAAGGCAACGAUGCAUAGCCGACCUGAGAGGGUGAUCGGCCACACUGGAACUGAGACACGGUCCAGACUCCUACGGGAGGCAGCAGUAGGGAAUCUUCCGCAAUGGGCGAAAGCCUGACGGAGCAACGCCGCGUGAGUGAUGAAGGUCUUCGGAUCGUAAAACUCUGUUAUUAGGGAAGAACAUAUGUGUAGGUAACUGUGCACAUCUUGACGGUACCUAAUCAGAAAGCCACGGCUAACUACGUGCCAGCAGCCGCGGUAAUACGUAGGUGGCAAGCGUUAUCCGGAAUUAUUGGGCGUAAAGCGCGCGUAGGCGGUCUUUUAAGUCUGAUGUGAAAGCCCACGGCUCAACCGUGGAGGGUCAUUGGAAACUGGAAAACUUGAGUGCAGAAGAGGAAAGUGGAAUUCCAUGUGUAGCGGUGAAAUGCGCAGAGAUAUGGAGGAACACCAGUGGCGAAGGCGACUUUCUGGUCUGUAACUGACGCUGAUGUGCGAAAGCGUGGGGAUCAAACAGGAUUAGAUACCCUGGUAGUCCACGCCGUAAACGAUGAGUGCUAAGUGUUAGGGGGUUUCCGCCCCUUAGUGCUGCAGCUAACGCAUUAAGCACUCCGCCUGGGGAGUACGACCGCAAGGUUGAAACUCAAAGGAAUUGACGGGGACCCGCACAAGCGGUGGAGCAUGUGGUUUAAUUCGAAGCAACGCGAAGAACCUUACCAAAUCUUGACAUCCUUUGACAACUCUAGAGAUAGAGCCUUCCCCUUCGGGGGACAAAGUGACAGGUGGUGCAUGGUUGUCGUCAGCUCGUGUCGUGAGAUGUUGGGUUAAGUCCCGCAACGAGCGCAACCCUUAAGCUUAGUUGCCAUCAUUAAGUUGGGCACUCUAAGUUGACUGCCGGUGACAAACCGGAGGAAGGUGGGGAUGACGUCAAAUCAUCAUGCCCCUUAUGAUUUGGGCUACACACGUGCUACAAUGGACAAUACAAAGGGCAGCGAAACCGCGAGGUCAAGCAAAUCCCAUAAAGUUGUUCUCAGUUCGGAUUGUAGUCUGCAACUCGACUACAUGAAGCUGGAAUCGCUAGUAAUCGUAGAUCAGCAUGCUACGGUGAAUACGUUCCCGGGUCU